AAUUCUCAACUACACUGACUUUGAAUUGGUGUGGCUUGGAUUUGGGGAAAGAACAUUGUUGUAGGCUUUUUUGUAUAGUCUGCUCUCCUGAAAUUGAUUAGCGGUACCUUUGUGGAACUGUCUACAGGUGUGAUAAUUAUCUACAUCAUAGACAUCUGCUGGAAUGCUGCUUUCUAAACCUUACUUGUCUUGACAA
This 196-nucleotide unclassified non-coding RNA is filed under the name uncultured Inocybe. RNAcentral describes it as "sequence contains ITS2". Lineage: Eukaryota; Fungi; Basidiomycota; Agaricomycetes; Agaricales; Cortinariaceae. The record is from RNAcentral.